UUCCUUUUCAUCCUUUCUUUAUUCUUCUCAUAUUUUUUCUUUCGUCUUCCUUUUCUUUUCCUUUCUACUUAUCCAUAUUCUUGUUUCUGCUUUCUAAUACAGAAAGUUUUGAUAGAGUAGAUCGUCAUAUUUUUAAAUUUAUAAAUACAUGAAACCUUAAUUUAUAUUAAUAUAUUAUGUCAUAAUAAUAGUUUACUUGUUUGAAAAACAUGCUUUAAAUUAUCAGGAUCUGGUUUAUGUAUUUCUAUGUUUUGAAUAUAAUUUUACAUAUACAACCACUCAAGAUUUUCCUUUUUUUUCAUUUAGUGGUAAGCAUUAUUUUUAUUUUUAACAAUUUCUUUCGAUAUAUAUAUAUUUAGUUACAUUAACAAAUCACUUCAUUUAUUCAUAUCAUGAAAGAAAGUAAAAUAGUCCAUGUAUCUCAUAAAUUUAAUGCUUAAAUUUUUUUAGACAUUAUAUUAGUUUAUACAACCAGAAACUGUGGCAGAAAGAUCUUAUUCACAAAUUAUAUUUCUUAUUAUUGGAUCUUCUAAACCACCUGAUUUUGCAAACAGGUAAAGAAAUCCAACAAUAUUAUUUACAAAUGUGAUUUUGCAAACAGACAGAUAAUGAAUGGAACAUCAUUGUGGAGGAAAGGAAUGGAGAUGCAUAUAUUAGGUACUAUUAGUAUUUUGUUUAUCAAAAUUAUUUUUAACAUUUUCCCUUGUUAUUCAAAUCUAUUAACUAUGUUUACAUUCUAAAUUUAUUAGUAAUCAAAUUUAAGGAUUGAUAAUUAAUUGAAUCAAAAUAUAUACCUAAUGGAUUGUCUAUGCAGUAUUUGAAAUCUAUUGUGAAAGGAUGAAAAUCUAUUAUAACUAAUAUAAAUGUUAAAGUUUCAUCAUUUCAUAAUAUAUUUUAGGUUUAAUAGGUUCGGAAGUCCCUAUAUUUGUGGGUUCGUUUCAAUUGGGUCCUCCAAUUUUGAAAGUGAUCAAUUUGGUCCCUAAUUUAACAAAAUUGAGUCAAUAAUACCCUUUCCGUUAAAUACAAUGGACGUCAUUAACUUUUUAAACAUGUGGUAUGUUGAAGCAUCCUUCAAAUAAAACUGUGCCACCUGCAAAUAAAAGGAUGCCUCAACAUGCCACAUGUUUAAAAAGUUAACGUCGUCCAUUAUAUUUAACGGAAAGGGUAUUAUUGACUCAAUUUUGUUAAAUUAGGGACCAAAUUGAUCACUUUCAAAAUUGGAGGACCCAAUUGAAACGAACCCACAAAUAUAAAGACCUCCGAACCUAUUAAACCUAUAUUUUAUAAAACUGAGUACAAGCCAUUAGUCACAUGUUUAAUAUAAUUAAAUUUUAAUAUAUCUGAUAAAUAUACGAGAAUUCAUAAAUUAAAAUAUUUCAACUGAUACCUUAAAUGAAUGAAAUAUAAAAAAAAGUAUUAAAAUGAUUAAGAACAUUAUCAAUCUUCACUAUUAUAUAUCAAAAUUUAUAUAAUAUCUAAAAUCAAAGAACUAUGCUGUUAAUAAAGUUAAUAUUCGAUCUUUCACAGUAAAGACAAUACAUAAUGUAGAAAAACUCAUCAUGUUAGCAUCCAAGUUUAAUGCAAUAAUCUAAGUAAGAAAAUAUAUAAAAGCAUUACUUUUGUAAGAAAUAUUAAACAAUGUCAUUAAACAAAUAUCACUUAAAAGGAUAAAAGUGUAUUUGUCAUAAUAAUAUUAAUAAAUUAUUCAAUGAAUUAAAACUUAACCGUUAUAAAAUAAACAUUUCAUUAUCUGUUGCAGUGACUUGGAUGCUAAUAUAAUUAAGGUAAUGAGAUUUUGUAUAAUAUGUAAUGUUUUUUCUGUGAAAGAUCAAAUGUAUAUUUUAUUAACAGCAUAAUAUCAUAUAAGAAAAUUCCAAAUGUAUUUGAUGUAUAUCAAAUUUGGCAUUAUCUUAUUUAUUCAUAAUUAAAAAAAUUUAGCUAAUUUCAUGUACUUAUAAAUAGUACAUGUUAUUGUGCAAAUAGAUAAGAAGAGAUGCAAUAUUGUGGAGGAGAUAUUGCAUUAUCAUCAUAUGAUUCACCAAAAUUAUUUUUUAACAUUGCUUAAUAUUGUGAAUUGAUUAAGUUUUUCUGUGUAGUUAGUACAUUAAGUUACAUGUGUUAAUUAAUUUGAGAGUGUAAUUUGUUAAUAUUUUAUGUUUUGUUGUUCUUGCAACCUAUUCUUUACAGCUACUUGUAUUAAUGAAAUUUGAUAAUCAAUUUAAUGCUUUUUUAUAUUAUUAUGGAUUUUGUUAGAUAUAUUGGUUAGAACUUCUUAUUAAUUGAAUUUAUUCAAUAAUUAAUUGGAUCCAUUUACCUGACUAAUGAAUUGUAUUUGUAAUUUUGAAAAUCCUAUAUGAAAAUCUAUUAUUACUAAUGUAAUGGUUAAAAGUUCAUCCUUUUAUAGUAUAUUUUACAAAAAUAGAAGCAAAACCCAUUAGUCAGAUGGAUUCAAAUUAUUGUAAACAACAUAACAUAGUACAUGAAUAAACAUAAUAGAUGUAGGCAUGAAUAGAAUAGGUUUCCAGAAUAACAAAACUUGAAAUAAUGAUAUAUUACACUCUCAAAUGGAUUAAUGUAUGAAUGUCCUUUAAUGAACUAAUAUUACAAUGCAAUUAACAAGGUGAGUUAGAAUGUAAAUUCUGACAGCAAUUUUAUUGAAACAUCAUCUAAGAGCACACUCUCCUUCAAGUUUGAAUCUGAAAUCUGAUGCAACAUGGUGGCUUCAGCUUCCACAAUCAUGUGGUUUAGAUGUUCAUUCAAAGAUCUCAAUGGCUACAAUGUAUUUAUAUGUAUCUAACAAUUUCAGUGUAUUCGGUUUUUAUUUGUUUGCAGCAUGACGUGUAAUAGUUUUUAUUUGAUUAAAUUAAUAAUAAUAAUAUUAUAGAUGUGAUUUAUUAUUUGUUUGUAACGUUUUAUGUUUUAUUGAGAAAAUUGACACACAAGAAAAGCAUAAUUUUAUCUCAGACACUGUCUUCUGGAAAUAAUUAAAAAAUAUUGUCCUUUUCUAUAGUGAGUGAAUACAAAUGGCAGCCAUGCAAUGUUCAGAUUCAAAUUCAGUACUAUUAUUUCUUGGUUUAAUGCAAUUAUUUCUCUGGUUUUCAAAAGUGUUCUGUGGCUAUAAAUACAUGGAUCAUUUAGCUACCACAAUCAAAACACUUAGAAUUUUCAUCGUUAUUCAUAUUUUCUUUCAACAAAACAUAUCUUGCUGAUAAACAUUUUGUUGAAGUUCAAUUCCAGAGUAUAAAUCAAGGGAUGACGCUGUUAAUCAAAUCAACCAUUUUAUCUUUUAUAGCAAAGACAUUACAAUAUGGCAAAGGUAAGAAGUUUUAUCAUUUUACACAAAAAUGCCAAAUCAGAUAUUCAGUAGCUCGUGCAUGGAAAUAACUGAGUAAUACUUUUUUUUUAAGGUGAUGCUUUUCUUGGCUUUCUGCAAUGGCAGAACUCAUGUGUGGAAACAGCAAAUAUAUUAAAGCAGCAGCAUUUGUCCUCCUAUGUCAGAUCAAAGACAUGCAUUGGUUUUCAUAUAACGAGGUAAAAAUUUAAUGGAAGCAUCUGAGGUAGUGACAGGAUUCCAAGGCAGGACGCAUGGAAACGAAAAAAAAAAACUUUGACCGAAAGUUUGACCAGUCGAAUUCUCCUUCUUUCUGUCAGAUGUUUCAUUGGCUUUUCAUUUUCAGAAAAUUUCUCAUCUUUCUCAAGAAACUUAGUUGAGACACUUUCAUGUUGGAACUUUGGUGAAGAAAGUAAAUAUUUUAUCUUU
Vigna angularis (adzuki bean) is the source of this 3760-nucleotide long non-coding RNA. RefSeq lists it as uncharacterized. Lineage: Eukaryota; Viridiplantae; Streptophyta; Magnoliopsida; Fabales; Fabaceae. The transcript has 3 exons. The record is from RefSeq and is a predicted model, not a curated record.